AGUUUCUGAUAGGAAGAGAUGUGUGAUAAAAAAUCAAAUGCAAUCAAAAGAAAUGACAAAUCAGCAACCAUUGAAAUGAUCACGAGUAUCAUAACCUAUAUUUGCAGGAAUAAACAAUCAAGAACAACAACCAUAAGGAAUUGAAAAACCUGUACAGUUACUGCCAAUCAAAGCUCUUUAAUUUUUACAUUGAAUAAAAGCCAGCCUCAUAAAACCAAUCUUCCUAAGGCGAAGAAGUCGAGGAUG
Molecule: unclassified non-coding RNA, 246 nt
Filed under: Hevea brasiliensis (rubber tree)
Lineage: Eukaryota; Viridiplantae; Streptophyta; Magnoliopsida; Malpighiales; Euphorbiaceae
Source: RNAcentral